GACGAACGCUGGCGGCGUGCUUAACACAUGCAAGUCGAACGCUGAAGCUCAGCUUUUGUUGGGUGGAUGAGUGGCGAACGGGUGAGUAACACGUGAGUAACCUGCCCCCUUCUUUGGGAUAACGCCCGGAAACGGGUGCUAAUACUGGAUAUUCACUGGUCUUCGCAUGGGGGUUGGUGGAAAGGGUUUUUCUGGUGGGGGAUGGGCUCGCGGCCUAUCAGCUUGUUGGUGGGGUGAUGGCCUACCAAGGCUUUGACGGGUAGCCGGCCUGAGAGGGUGACUGGUCACAUUGGGACUGGGAUACGGCCCAGACUCCUACGGGAGGCAGCAGUGGGGAAUAUUGCACAAUGGGCGCAAGCCUGAUGCAGCGACGCCGCGUGAGGGAUGGAGGCCUUCGGGUUGUGAACCUCUUUCGCUCAUGGUCAAGCCGCAACAAUGGUUGUGGUGAGGGUAGUGGGUAAAGAAGCGCCGGCUAACUACG
Molecule: ribosomal RNA, 481 nt
Filed under: uncultured bacterium
Lineage: Bacteria
Description: partial 16S ribosomal RNA
Rfam family: Bacterial small subunit ribosomal RNA
Source: RNAcentral